Phacochoerus africanus (Common warthog) is the source of this 449-nucleotide long non-coding RNA. RefSeq lists it as uncharacterized. The record is from RefSeq and is a predicted model, not a curated record. The transcript is spliced from 3 exons. Lineage: Eukaryota; Metazoa; Chordata; Mammalia; Artiodactyla; Suidae.
UUCAGCUGUUCUCAGCCCUGCUGCAUGCUUGCCAAAGACUCCAGCAGCAGCAUGAAGUUGGGAGGCUUCCUCCUCCUUGUGGCCCUGCUCAUGCUCAGCUCGGAGGUGCAGGAGCUGCAGGCUGCAGUGAGACCAGUGAAAUUUCCAGGCUCCUGUGUUGAUCUCUGCCAUGGUGAUUGGGACUGUGAUUCAGGAGAACGCUGUGUCAGCAAUGGUUGUGGCCACAUCUGUGUUUCAGACUAAAGACAGAGGAAGAUUUAUCCUAAAGACCAUCCUUCUGUAAUCAUUGCUCAUCCUUUCCUGGAGUUCCUAUCUUCAAAGAUGUGAUGAUUUGAAGCUCCUUGCCCAGGAAAACAGAUGAAAAUGGGGCCCGUGUCUGGAGAAGACAGGGGAUGUGAUGAGGAAGGAAAAUAAUUGUUCCUUUUAAUAAAUCAGCAUCACUAAAAGUA